RNAcentral lists this long non-coding RNA (263 nucleotides) under Carica papaya (papaya). RNAcentral's name for it is "long non-coding RNA (CPAP_LNC001759)". The record is from RNAcentral. Lineage: Eukaryota; Viridiplantae; Streptophyta; Magnoliopsida; Brassicales; Caricaceae.
UGGGAGGGAUAAAGCAUAUGGGACUAGUUCUGAGACAGCACGUACCAGUCAAGGACAAAGGAAGUGGAGUGGCAAUGAACAUACAAUGAGGGCUGAGGAGAUUGACCAUCAACUUACCCAAAAUUUAAGUGGCAAUUUUAAUUUUGAGGGUGUGGAUUCGGUGAAUGAUCCUCCAACGCCCAAAACUCCUACUUCACAACCCCAAUAAGAAUCACAAACUUCUUACAGACAGAAAAAAUCGAAACAUUUGCAUGCUAUCCUAG